This 881-nucleotide ribosomal RNA is filed under the name uncultured bacterium. RNAcentral describes it as "bacterial SSU rRNA". It matches the Rfam family "Bacterial small subunit ribosomal RNA", at positions 8 to 871 of the family's 1533-position model. The record is from RNAcentral.
AGAGUUUGAUCAUGGUUCAGGAUGAACGGUAGGGACAGGCUUAACACAUGCAAGUCGAGGGGCAGCAGGGGGUGAAGCUUGUUUCACUCCGCUGGCGACCGGCGCACGGGUGAGUAACACGUAUGCAACCUGGCUGCCACAGGUGGAUAACCGGAAGAAAUUCCGACUAAUACAGCAUAACACCCCCGGGGGACAUCCUCCGGGGGUCAAAGGAGGCAACUCCGGUAGCAGAUGGGCAUGCGGCGCAUUAGGUAGUUGGUGAGGUAACGGCUCACCAAGCCGACGAUGCGUAGGGGUUCUGAGAGGAAGGUCCCCCACAUUGGAACUGAGACACGGUCCAAACUCCUACGGGAGGCAGCAGUGAGGAAUAUUGGUCAAUGGCCGCAAGGCUGAACCAGCCAAGUCGCGUGAGGGAAUAAGGCCCUAUGGGUCGUAAACCUCUUUUGUCAGGGAGCAAAGCCGCACACGAGUGAGCGGAAGGAGAGUACCUGAAGAAAAAGCAUCGGCUAACUCCGUGCCAGCAGCCGCGGUAAUACGGAGGAUGCGAGCGUUAUCCGGAUUUAUUGGGUUUAAAGGGUGCGCAGGCGGAGAGACAAGUCAGCGGUAAAAUUUCGGGGCUUAACCCCGGCGAGCCGUUGAAACUGUCUCCCUUGAGUGAGCGAGAAGUAAGCGGAAUGCGUGGUGUAGCGGUGAAAUGCAUAGAUAUCACGCAGAACGCCGAUUGCGAAGGCAGCUUACCGGCGCUCAACUGACGCUCAGGCACGAAAGUGCGGGUAUCGAACAGGAUUAGAUACCCUGGUAGUCCGCACAGUAAACGAUGAAUGCUAGAUGUUCGGUCCGACUGAGGGCUGAGUGUCACAGCGAAAGCGUUAAGCAUUCCA